AAGUGGCGGCGGACAGCGUGACGUAUGACCGAGUCAUCCGCGGCAAUGACAAACGCUGUGUUUUCCAAGAACAAGAAAAGGCGAACUGCCUCCAACGUUGAUAUCGUCGUUUGCGGAAGGCAGCGGUCCAAAUCAUCAAUCAACACAAUAAGCUUCGUGCCCAUUGCUUCGAGGGUUUCCUCGAAAGAUUUGCGGAUCGCAUGAAUUUCUUUAGGCGGCGAGGACUCGGCGCGUGGCUUGAUCAG
Molecule: unclassified non-coding RNA, 245 nt
Filed under: Hevea brasiliensis (rubber tree)
Lineage: Eukaryota; Viridiplantae; Streptophyta; Magnoliopsida; Malpighiales; Euphorbiaceae
Source: RNAcentral